Molecule: ribosomal RNA, 824 nt
Filed under: uncultured bacterium
Lineage: Bacteria
Description: bacterial SSU rRNA
Rfam family: Bacterial small subunit ribosomal RNA
Source: RNAcentral
AGAGUUUGAUCCUGGCUCAGGAUGAACGCUGGCGGCGUGCCUAAUACAUGCAAGUCGAGCGAACAGACGAGGAGCUUGCUCCUCUGACGUUAGCGGCGGACGGGUGAGUAACACGUGGAUAACCUACCUAUAAGACUGGGAUAACUUCGGGAAACCGGAGCUAAUACCAGAUAACAUGUUGAACCGCAUGGUUCAACAGUGAAAGACGGUCUUGCUGUCACUUAUAGAUGGAUCCGCGCCGCAUUAGCUAGUUGGUAAGGUAACGGCUUACCAAGGCAACGAUGCGUAGCCGACCUGAGAGGGUGAUCGGCCACACUGGAACUGAGACACGGUCCAGACUCCUACGGGAGGCAGCAGUAGGGAAUCUUCCGCAAUGGGCGAAAGCCUGACGGAGCAACGCCGCGUGAGUGAUGAAGGUCUUCGGAUCGUAAAACUCUGUUAUUAGGGAAGAACAAAUGUGUAAGUAACAAUGCACGUCUUGACGGCACCUAAUCAGAAAGCCACGGCUAACUACGUGCCAGCAGCCGCGGUAAUACGUAGGUGGCAAGCGUUAUCCGGAAUUAUUGGGCGUAAAGCGCGCGUAGACGGUUUUUUAAGUCUGAUGUGAAAGCCCACGGCUCAACCGUGGAGGGUCAUUGGAAACUGGAAAACUUGAGUGCAGAAGAGGAAAGUGGAAUUCCAUGUGUAGCGGUGAAAUGCGCAGAGAUAUGGAGGAACACCAGUGGCGAAGGCGACUUUCUGGUCUGUAACUGACGCUGAUGUGCGAAAGCGUGGGGAUCAAACAGGAUUAGAUACCCUGGUAGUCCACGCCGUAAACGAUGAGU